Molecule: unclassified non-coding RNA, 774 nt
Filed under: Hevea brasiliensis (rubber tree)
Lineage: Eukaryota; Viridiplantae; Streptophyta; Magnoliopsida; Malpighiales; Euphorbiaceae
Source: RNAcentral
GCAUAAUCCAAUAAUUGUAUUUAUAAACAUACAUAUUUUUUUACUUGUUACUUUAUUUUAAUAUUUGUUAAAAUUUAAAAAAUAUUUUUUAUUUAAAAUAAUUAUGUAAUAUCCUUUUAAUAAAGAUUUUUAUGAAAUAAAAGAAAAUUAAAAUUAAUAAUUUCGGUCAUCAAAUUAAAUUUUAUAAAAUCUAUGCUUUAUUUAUUUAUUAAUCAACUCUAAAUUUCAAGGGCUAUGGUAAAAGACUCAAGAACUCUGUUAACCAGUCACUUCUUGAUUCUUUUUUUGGGUCCACCUCCUUUUAAAAUGAAUUCUACAUUGCUUUCAAAUAUAUAUCAAUGCCUGCGAACAGAAAUUUACUUGUGUACUCCUAAAGCAUAUUAACUUAAUGCAUAAUAAUGCAUUUUAGGUGAAUUUAGUCAUACUUUUACCAAUAGCUUCAUGCUUUUUAAGCUUGAAUGAAAUUUUCAUUUUUUAUGUUAAUUGCUUAUAAAAACAAGAGAUUUGUUUAUUUGAAUAUACAAAAUCGUUAACCACUUUUUCAAUAAUACUAUUAAUCAUUAAUCAUGGUAAUAUUUGCUCUUAAAAUUAAAGCUAAACUCGAUAAUCUUAAGAAUUUACAACCUGCUGGAGGUCCUAAUAAUGGUUUACCAUAUUUUUUCAAGGUCAAGAAACGAAUUUUAUUUAUGUAAAUAUUUUAUUUAUUUUUAUUUAAUUUCAUUAAUAAUAUUUUUAAUAUAUUUUGUAUUACAGUUAAAAUGUACUCACUGUCAG